Molecule: ribosomal RNA, 433 nt
Filed under: uncultured bacterium
Lineage: Bacteria
Description: partial 16S ribosomal RNA
Rfam family: Bacterial small subunit ribosomal RNA
Source: RNAcentral
AACGAACGCUGGCGGCAUGCCUAACACAUGCAAGUCGAACGAACCCUUCGGGGUUAGUGGCGCACGGGUGCGUAACGCGUGGGAAUCUGCCCUUUGCUUCGGACUAACUCAGGGAAACUUGUGCUAAUACCGGAUGAUGUCUUCGGACCAAAGAUUUAUCGGCAAGGGAUGAGCCCGCGUAGGAUUAGGUAGUUGGUGGGGUAAAGGCCUACCAAGCCGACGAUCCUUAGCUGGUCUGAGAGGAUGAUCAGCCACACUGGGACUGAGACACGGCCCAGACUCCUACGGGAGGCAGCAGUGGGGAAUAUUGGACAAUGGGCGCAAGCCUGAUCCAGCAAUGCCGCGUGAGUGAUGAAGGCCCUCGGGUCGUAAAGCUCUUUUACCAGGGAUGAUAAUGACAGUACCUGGAGAAUAAGCUCCGGCUAACUCCGUG